AUGGGUGAGUAACACGUGCUUAAUCUACCUUUUAGAUUGGGAUACCCAAUGGAAACAUUGGUUAAUACCGGAUACGCAGAGAAUCGCAUGAUUCUUUUGUGAAAGGAGCCUUAAAGCUCCACUAGAAGAUGAGGGUGCGGAACAUUAGUUAGUUGGUGAGGUAAUGGCUCACCAAGACUAUGAUGUUUAGCCGGGUCGAGAGACUGAACGGCCACAUUGGGACUGAGAUACGGCCCAAACUCCUACGGGAGGCAGCAGUAGGGAAUAUUCCACAAUGAGCGAAAGCUUGAUGGAGCGACACAGCGUGCACGAUGACGGUCUUCGGAUUGUAAAGUGCUGUUAUAAGGAAAGAAYACUUCAAUGAGGAAAUGCUUUGAAGCUGACGGUACCUUAUCAGAAAGCGAUGGCUAACUAUGUGCCAGCAGCCGCGGUAAUACAUAGGUCGCAAGCGUUAUCCGGAAUUAUUGGGCGUAAAGCGUUCGUAGGUUGUUUAUUAAGUCUGAAGUCAAAUCCCAGGGCUCAACCCUGGCUCGCUUUGGAUACUGGUAAACUAGAGUUAGAUAGAGGUAAGCGGAAUUCCAUGUGAAGCGGUGAAAUGCGUAGAUAUAUGGAAGAACACCAAAGGCGAAGGCAGCUUACUGGGUCUAUACUGACACUGAGGGACGAAAGCGUGGGGAGCAAACAGGAUUAGAUACCCUGGUAGUCCACGCCGUAAACGAUGAUCAUUAGUCGGUGGAGAAUCACUGACGCAGCUAACGCAUUAAAUGAUCCGCCUGAGUAGUAUGCUCGCAAGAGUGAAACUUAAAGGAAUUGACGGGGACCCGCACAAGCGGUGGAGCAUGUGGUUUAAUUUGAAGAUACACGGAGAACCUUACCCACUCUUGACAUCCUUCGCAAAGCUAUAGAGAUAUAGUGGAGGUUAACAGAGUG
This 930-nucleotide ribosomal RNA is filed under the name uncultured Mycoplasma sp. RNAcentral describes it as "bacterial SSU rRNA". It matches the Rfam family "Bacterial small subunit ribosomal RNA", at positions 102 to 1033 of the family's 1533-position model. The record is from RNAcentral. Lineage: Bacteria; Bacillati; Mycoplasmatota; Mollicutes; Mycoplasmatales; Mycoplasmataceae.